Molecule: ribosomal RNA, 799 nt
Filed under: Appaleptoneta fiskei
Lineage: Eukaryota; Metazoa; Arthropoda; Arachnida; Araneae; Leptonetidae
Description: eukaryotic LSU rRNA
Rfam family: Eukaryotic large subunit ribosomal RNA (bases 535-799)
Source: RNAcentral
GAAACGGGUGGGCCCUCGAAGUCCGUGCGUCCGCGGAGGACUCAGCCUGUCACGGCUUGAAGGGGUCAGGCCGGCGAGUCCCGGGUCAGGGUCCGACGCGUCCAGCGUCGCCGUCCGCCGGGAGGAGCCGCGCGGUGCGCCCCGCCGAUUCGCCAGACGGUGCACUUCCUCCUGGACUGUCGUGGACGCCGCUGCCGGUUGCCGGCCUGCCGAGAGGCGGCGCGACGAGCGGAGAUCUCGGCGAGCCGAAGCGCUCGCCGGGUCCCGCGCCGCCUCGGCGGGGCGGGCGACCGAGAGAGAGUUCAUGGCUCCCGUUCCUCGAGGCCCGAGGUGGCCCGAUGCGGAGUCCCGAAACAAGUCGCAUUCGAGUCCUGGAGCAGCCGCAGGAAGUCCGUUCCUCGCCCCUCCCCAGAGCGGGCGCGUCGGUCCGGCGUGAGCAGCCGCCAGGUCGGGACGUCCGCGGCGGAGGCCGAGAGAGAACCGCAGAGAGCGGCGAGUAGGUCGGCGUCCCACCCGACCCGUCUUGAAACACGGACCAAGGAGUCUAACAUGUGCGCGAGUCAGUGGGUCUCGACAAAGCCCAGAGGCGUAACGAGAGUGAGAGAGUUCGUUGCGAUCCCGGCCGCGUGGUCGAGCCGGAGGCAGCAACCGCCCGCCGAGCAAUCGGCGGAGCGCGAGCGCACACGUUGGUACCCGAAAGAUGGUGAUCUAUGCUCGGACCGGUUGAGGGCAGAGGAAACUCUGCUGGAGGACCCUAGCGGUUCUGACGUGCAAAUCGAUCGCGCGAUCGAGGUAUAGG